RNAcentral lists this ribosomal RNA (700 nucleotides) under uncultured Gammaproteobacteria bacterium. RNAcentral's name for it is "bacterial SSU rRNA". It matches the Rfam family "Bacterial small subunit ribosomal RNA", at positions 82 to 778 of the family's 1533-position model. The record is from RNAcentral. Lineage: Bacteria; Pseudomonadati; Pseudomonadota; Gammaproteobacteria.
GCUUCUCUUGAGAGCGGCGGACGGGUGAGUAAUGCCUAGGAAUCUGCCUAGUGGUGGGGGAUAACGUUCGGAAACGGGCGCUAAUACCGCAUACGUCCUACGGGAGAAAGCGGGGGACCUUCGGGCCUCGCGCCAUUAGAUGAGCCUAGGUCGGAUUAGCUAGUUGGUGAGGUAAUGGCUCACCAAGGCGACGAUCCGUAACUGGUCUGAGAGGAUGAUCAGUCACACUGGAACUGAGACACGGUCCAGACUCCUACGGGAGGCAGCAGUGGGGAAUAUUGGACAAUGGGCGAAAGCCUGAUCCAGCCAUGCCGCGUGUGUGAAGAAGGUCUUCGGAUUGUAAAGCACUUUAAGUUGGGAGGAAGGGUAGUAACUUAAUACGUUGCUACUUUGACGUUACCGACAGAAUAAGCACCGGCUAACUUCGUGCCAGCAGCCGCGGUAAUACGAAGGGUGCAAGCGUUAAUCGGAAUUACUGGGCGUAAAGCGCGCGUAGGUGGUUCAGUAAGUUGGAAGUGAAAUCCCCGGGCUCAACCUGGGAACUGCUUUCAAAACUGCUGAGCUAGAGUACGGUAGAGGGUGGUGGAAUUUCCUGUGUAGCGGUGAAAUGCGUAGAUAUAGGAAGGAACACCAGUGGCGAAGGCGACCACCUGGACUGAUACUGACACUGAGGUGCGAAAGCGUGGGGAGCAAACAGGAU